RNAcentral lists this ribosomal RNA (440 nucleotides) under uncultured bacterium. RNAcentral's name for it is "partial 16S ribosomal RNA". It matches the Rfam family "Bacterial small subunit ribosomal RNA", at positions 339 to 795 of the family's 1533-position model. The record is from RNAcentral.
CUACGGGUCGCAGCAGUGAGGAAUAUUGCACAAUGGGGGGAACCCUGAUGCAGCAACGCCGCGUGGAGGAUGACGCAUUUCGGUGUGUAAACUCCUUUUAUAUGUCAAGAAAAUGACGGUAGCAUAUGAAUAAGCACCGGCUAACUCCGUACCAGCAGCCGCGGUAAUACGGAGGGUGCAAGCGUUACUCGGAAUCACUGGGCGUAAAGGACGCGUAGGCGGGUUGGAAAGUCAGGUGUGAAAUCCUACAGCUUAACUGUAAGAACUGCACUUGAAACUUCUAAUCUAGAGUAUGGGAGGGGGAGGUGGAAUUAGUGGGUGAGGGGUUAAAUCCGGAGAUUUCACUAGGAAGACCUAAAGCGAAGGCGAUCUCCUGGAACAUUACUGACGGUAAGGGGUGAAAGCGUAGGGAGGAAACAGGAUUAGAUACCCUCGUAGUC